AUGAGCCGCCGGUUGGCGUCGCGGGAGGGAGGCGUGGGUUUGGGGGAGGGGAGGGGCGCGGCCGGAGCGGCCUUGGGAUCGGCGCCGCGAGGCCGCUAGCGUAACCGGCGCCGCGGCUACCGCUGGGUGGGGAGGUUCUCCUCAAUGGACACGCGCCCCUCGAGGAGCAAGCUGCUGGGGCUGCAGCAGCUCCACAGCGGCCGCCGGCGGCGGCGGCGGCCCCCCACCUUGGGGCCGGUGGUCUUCUCCUUCGCCUCGGUCCAACAAGGAGCGCUUUAUUAACUUUAACUACUACUAGGACUACCACAACACUAAUAACCACUCUUUCGUGGUCAACUUUUCUUAUUUGUAAGUCAACCUACAGGAGAACAAACCGGUUUCGUACACUUCUGAUCACACCGACCACUGUGACGGCCUGGUUCGUGGAUACGAAGUUUGUCAUGACGGUAAUACCCACCAAAAUUCUUUCAAUCGCGGCCUGGUUCGUGGAUACGAAGUUUGUCAUGAUGGUAAUACCCACUAAAGUUUUUUCAAUGGAGACCUGGUUUGUGGAUAAAAAGUUCGUCAUGACGACAAUUCCUACGAAAACGAUUUUUUAUAUACCUUUGGCGUCAAAUGGUACUAAUACUACUGAUGGGAAAGCUGCGUAAGCUCCUUCUACUUCUGAAACGAAUACUCCUUCUACUGAUGCUUUUGAUACUCAAACUACUAUGUGAAAUACUCUUACUUAUAUUGAUAUUAAAUAGACGGGUCAAACUACCGAACCUAUAGGGCGGACCUUACCUCCGAGGAAAUGGUACCGACGUCUUCUGACGGCGACUCUACAGCUCAUUAAGGUUUGGGUAGGGUUAGAACCUGCUCUUUCAACUACUUUCUAUGUCGUGUAAAUUCGUUAAACUAUGACAACUACCGGUAUCACUAGUAAUAAUACACUUUGGUCUCAAUUCCUUUCGAGACCAUCACUUCUUCGGUAGUUUUCUGACCCGCUUCGCGUAAGUCGUACUCACCUUUCAGAAUCUCUUUCUGAACGGUCUAUGGUAUAAGCACUCCCGUAUGCUCCUAUCUUACCUGGAAGAAUCUCAACAGUAAUACCCAGGUCGCCCGUGAGGAAUGGUACUACCCGAGAAAAAGAAGCUGUAAAUGAAGGGAGGAGUUAUAGGUUUGUAUGGAGGUGAACAAUUGAUGGCGAGACCACCCGACGCCGAAUUAGGUUUGGACAUACGAACACCCUUCCACACGGAAUCGGACAAUUUGUGGACCCGACCGUCACCUACACUCUUUACCUUAGGUAGGUUAAGUUGGUACGACGUCCAGGAACAGAGGUAAGUCCGGGACCAAAACUUACGGUUUGGAAUAAAGUUACUCGGACCUAUACGAUUAAGUCGAUUGUGUGGACCGCCCCUCUUUUCUAGGGAUUGAAUAUUACUUCUGUGGAAGGACGACAGGACGUCCUGCUACAACAUAAGAGAAGCUUUAGGUGGUUUCGUAAAACUCCUAAAGCACCGGCCGGUAAAGGCGUUCGUGCCCGCGUUGCAGGACCACCGGACGUUCCGGAUGGACCUGCCCCGCGUCCAGCCCACGGAGCGGCCCUUGCCCCACGUCCUGCACCUGCUCCCACUGUUCUCGACGAGCGAGUUCAAGUUCUGGAGCGAGUUCUCCGACAAGCUCCUCGACGACUACCUCAAGUGCCACUUCCCUCGCCUGACGUCGUUCAAGGACAGCCUCUUCCGCUUCGUCAGCCGGCGGAGGCGGUGGUGGAGAUCUCCCGGCGGCCGUCUGUGGUGGGACUCCGAUAUUCGCCACCAGCGGUCGGCUCGGCUCGGCUCGGUUUUACCAUCGUUAUUAAAACCGGUACCUUCGCUAAGCUAAGAUCCGAACGGAUCGAUAUUGAGGAGGACGGGACUGGAGCAGCCAGCUAUCCUCCGCGGGAUGGGCUCGCUCUCCCCUUAAUUUGGACUAACAAAAAACACAUUCAUCAAAUACAUGUAUACGGGAGGGGCGGAUCGAGAAGGCCACUUGUAUUAGGUAGGUAGGCAUACAAAUCCCUGUUCAUAGUAGUAGUCGUGGUAGUAGUGGACACUCUCUCUGUGAUACUAAUUACAGUGGCAGGAUCCGAAUUAUAUAUAGACUACCUCAAACAGUC
Molecule: ribosomal RNA, 2143 nt
Filed under: Triticum aestivum (bread wheat)
Lineage: Eukaryota; Viridiplantae; Streptophyta; Magnoliopsida; Poales; Poaceae
Description: partial small subunit ribosomal RNA
Source: RNAcentral